RNAcentral lists this long non-coding RNA (395 nucleotides) under Mytilus galloprovincialis (Mediterranean mussel). The record is from RNAcentral. Lineage: Eukaryota; Metazoa; Mollusca; Bivalvia; Mytilida; Mytilidae.
GUUCGGUAAACAGAAAGUUGUCAAGUGAUCAAUCUGAAAACGCAUCACACGGUAUAGCUGACUUAGAUAAACCCUGAAACCAAAUUUCAGAAAUCCUUGUAUUGUAGUUCCUGAGAAAAUGCGACGAAAAAUAUUCAUGGGACGGACGGACUGACGGAAGGACAGACAGAGGUAAAACAGUAUACCCCCCUUUUUUAAAGCGGGGGUAUAAUAACAAGCUAUUCAUUUGUACACAUAUACAUAAAAUUUACUUGACUUCUUUGAAAUCUUCCCAAGAAUAGAUUUUAAACAAGGAUUGUGUUUAUAUAACAUGGAUGCCCCACUCACACUAUCAUACGAACUGUGAAAUUGGGUGUCAAAACUCUAAUUUGUCAUUAAAAGUAGAAAUAUCAUAC